ACGAGGACUAUGCGUCGAGUCAUAUUCACGUCAUCCGCGACGCUAAGAGUUAAGUUUUGCCUGACACCCAUCGACAUAAAUAGGUACACAACCAGUUGAUAUAGAAAAAUAGAAGAUUGAUGUUUGUGUUAAUGAGUUGCAAGAUAUAUGGUAAUUGAGUCAGAUGAACGAGGACUGCUAGCGUCCAUUGAUGACUGCUCCAAGAUACAUUUGAAUUUUGUGCGCCGUUCAUGACAAAAAAAGACAUAAAGUACAAGAGAUAGAAGGAUUUAUGGCGUAAAAUAUACAUGAGAUGUGUUAAGCGCCGCUGCAUAGCGUACAAGGCAAUGCACCCUACGAUGCAAAUGCGAGCGUGGUCGUUCUAAUUGUGCAUCUAUCUAAAAAUGAUCAAAGAUAUUAUCUAUGUUUUUAUUUACUCAUUUGCCGAAUGGACAACGUCAAGAUAUACAUCCAUUAUGACUUGCUGUCAACGGGCUAUCCGCUACCGUUCACAUCAAUAAGUAACCACGAGCAAAUAAGGGUGAAAAAAGGAAAAUGUAUACUUUGGGUCAAUGUGUUACAAGAUGCACAGAUAAAUAGGGGCGGAAAAAAAAGAGAAAAACGUAUCCGCUGGGAUGAUGCAUUACCAGCCGUAGAGAUAAAUAAAUAAAUAAAAAAUAUGCUUUUGGACCACAUGUUACAUGAUGUAGAGUGAAUAAGUCUUCAAUAUGGAUAUAUAAAUGUCAAUAGAUAGAUAGAUAACGAGGACUAAGUGUCGAGUCAUAUUCACUUCACGCACCGCACUAAGAAUUAAGUUUUUCAAGGCAUCCAUCAACAUAAAUAGGAUAACGGCACGUUGAUAUAAAAAAUAGGAGAUUGAUGUGUUGUGUUAAUGAGUUGCAAGUAUAGGGUGAUCGAGUUUGGCGACCAAUGAUCGCUAGCGUCCAUUGAUGAUUGCUCCAAGAUAGAUUUAGCCAUGAGAUAUGAUUUACAGUUGACUUUUGCCGGGCCGUUCAUGACAAAAAAGAAGAAGUAAAUUGCACGAGGUAGAAGGAUUAAUUGAAUAAAUUGCACGAGAUAUGGUUCUUUCCUAUAGAUAGAU
Molecule: long non-coding RNA, 1081 nt
Filed under: Brachypodium distachyon (stiff brome)
Lineage: Eukaryota; Viridiplantae; Streptophyta; Magnoliopsida; Poales; Poaceae
Description: long non-coding RNA (BDIS_LNC004013)
Source: RNAcentral